RNAcentral lists this ribosomal RNA (519 nucleotides) under uncultured bacterium. Its description in RNAcentral is "bacterial SSU rRNA". It matches the Rfam family "Bacterial small subunit ribosomal RNA", at positions 26 to 518 of the family's 1533-position model. The record is from RNAcentral.
AGGACGAACGCUGGCGGCGUGCCUAAUACAUGCAAGUCGAGCGGUCUUUCUAUGGAAGUUUGCUUCCACUGAGAAGAUAGUGGCGAACGGGUGAGUAACACGUGGGUAACCUGCCCAUAAGAGGGGGAUAACAUCCGGAAACGGGUGCUAAUACCGCAUAGUUUUCUUGAUCGCAUGAUCGGGAAAGGAAAGACGGCCUUUGUGCUGUCGCUUAUGGAUGGACCCGCGGCGUAUUAGUUAGUUGGUGAGGUAAUGGCUCACCAAGACGAUGAUACGUAGCCGACCUGAGAGGGUGAUCGGCCACAUUGGGACUGAGACACGGCCCAAACUCCUACGGGAGGCAGCAGUAGGGAAUCUUCCGCAAUGGACGAAAGUCUGACGGAGCAACGCCGCGUGAGUGAAGAAAGGUUUUCGGAUCGUAAAACUCUGUUGUCAGAGAAGAACAAGUUGGAGAGUAACUGCUCCAGCCUUGACGGUAUCUGACCAGAAAGCCACGGCUAACUACGUGCCAGCCGCCGC